CGGCAGCAGUGGGGAAUUUUGGACAAUGGGCGCAAGCCUGAUCCAGCCAUUCCGCGUGAGUGAAGAAGGCCUUCGGGUUGUAAAGCUCUUUCGCAAGGGAAGAAAACUUACUUUCUAAUAAAGAGUGAGGUUGACGGUACCUUGAUAAGAAGCACCGGCUAACUACGUGCCAGCAGCCGCGGUAAUACGUAGGGUGCGAGCGUUAAUCGGAAUUACUGGGCGUAAAGCGUGCGCAGGCGGUUUUGUAAGUCAGAUGUGAAAUCCCCGAGCUCAACUUGGGAACUGCGUUUGAAACUACAAGACUAGAAUAUGUCAGAGGGGGGUAGAAUUCCACGUGUAGCAGUGAAAUGCGUAGAGAUGUGGAGGAAUACCAAUGGCGAAGGCAGCCCCCUGGGAUAAUAUUGACGCUCAUGCACGAAAGCGUGGGGAGCAAACAGGAUUAGAUACCCGUGUAGUC
This 457-nucleotide ribosomal RNA is filed under the name uncultured Methylophilaceae bacterium. RNAcentral's name for it is "bacterial SSU rRNA". It matches the Rfam family "Bacterial small subunit ribosomal RNA", at positions 346 to 795 of the family's 1533-position model. The record is from RNAcentral. Lineage: Bacteria; Pseudomonadati; Pseudomonadota; Betaproteobacteria; Nitrosomonadales; Methylophilaceae.